RNAcentral lists this ribosomal RNA (309 nucleotides) under uncultured bacterium. Its description in RNAcentral is "bacterial SSU rRNA". It matches the Rfam family "Bacterial small subunit ribosomal RNA", at positions 29 to 334 of the family's 1533-position model. The record is from RNAcentral.
AACGAACGCUAAGCGGGAUGCCUCAAACAUGCAAGUCGUACGAGAAAACACCUUCGGGUGUGAGUACAGUGGCGCACGGGUGCGUAACACGUAGCUAACCUACCCUUUCGCUGGGGAUAACUCCGGGAAACCGGGGCUAAUACCGAAUGAUCUGAACGAGUCUGCGGACUUGUUCGGUAAAGGCGCAAGCCGCGAGAGGAUGGGGCUGCGGCCCAUUAGCUUGAUGGUAGGGUAACGGCCUACCAUGGCUACUAUGGGUAGCUGGUCUGAGAGGAUGAUCAGCCACACUGGAACUGGAACACGGUCCAG